This 496-nucleotide ribosomal RNA is filed under the name uncultured bacterium. RNAcentral's name for it is "partial 16S ribosomal RNA". It matches the Rfam family "Bacterial small subunit ribosomal RNA", at positions 28 to 506 of the family's 1533-position model. The record is from RNAcentral.
GAUGAACGCUGGCGGCGUGCCUAAUACAUGCAAGUCGAGCGAACAGACGAGGAGCUUGCUCCUCUGACGUUAGCGGCGGACGGGUGAGUAACACGUGGAUAACCUACCUAUAAGACUGGGAUAACUUCGGGAAACCGGAGCUAAUACCGGAUAAUAUGUUGAAUCGCAUGGUUCAACAGUGAAAGACGGUCUUGCUGUCACUUAUAGCUGGAUCCGCGCCGCAUUAGCUAGUUGGUAAGGUAACGGCUUACCAAGGCAACGAUGCGUAGCCGACCGGAGAGGGUGAUCGGCCACACGGGAACUGAGACACGUUCCAGACUCCUACGGGAGGCAGCAGUAGGGAUACUGCCGCAUGGGGCGAAAGCCUGACGGAGCAUCGCCGCGUGAGUGAAGAAGGGCUUCGGAUCGUAAAACGCUGUUAUGAGGGAAGAACAAAUGUGUAAGUAACGAUGCACGUCUGGACGGUACCGAAGCAGAAAGCCACGGCUAACUACGU